Molecule: long non-coding RNA, 696 nt
Filed under: Physcomitrium patens
Lineage: Eukaryota; Viridiplantae; Streptophyta; Bryopsida; Funariales; Funariaceae
Description: long non-coding RNA (PPAT_LNC006633)
Source: RNAcentral
UAAGUGUAUACAAAAUUUUGUGAUAAUCUAAUGAUCUGGUUUAGAGAUAUCUAGUUUUUAGCACAAGAGGAUUUCAGAAGGUGGCAGUUUGAGGUUGGGUAGAAUUUCUAUGAUCUCUGAAGAUCUAUCAGUCGGAUUAAGGUGAAAAUUGGCAUGGUAUUAGAGAACUUAAAGAUCAAGCUACAUACAAAUUUUGAGACAAAGUUAAUAAUUAAAGAAGGAGAAAUCAUUGCUGGGAUUUUUGCUUUACUUUUCAAGUUGGCCGCCGAGUGACAUUGGUGCAAUUUUUGGAGGUUUUCUCACAAUCUAUAAGCUGAAUUGGGCUAAAAAUUCUUGAGCAUUUAGAAGACUUACAUUGAAAAUUGCAUGCAAAAUUCUACAUCAAGUGGAUGGUCGGAUUGGAUGUUAUAGCUUGUUAAAGCUCACUAAUUAGGAUUGGGGUUUACAAGAAAAAUCUAAAUUGCUUAAAUAUGAAAAAAAUAAGGUAAUUGGAAUUUAUGUAUGGUUGAGACUACUAAGAAGAGUGUUUUAAGCACUUUUGAAUUGAAAUUCAGAUUAUAUUCUUCUCGCAUGGAUGAAACCUAUUAGGAUUUCUUGGCAACUUGUAAAACAUAAUCUCACCUUCCACAGCUAAGUGUCUAGUGCAUUCUUGAGCAAAAUAACACAUAAUAUGACACCAGAUAUUUUGGAUAUAAU